UAUCGGGCAAUGGGCGCAAGCCUGACCCAGCAACGCCGCGUGAAGGAAGAAGGCUUUCGGGUUGUAAACUUCUUUUAAGGGGGAAGAGCAGAAGACGGUACCCCUUGAAUAAGCCACGGCUAACUACGUGCCAGCAGCCGCGGUAAUACGUAGGUGGCAAGCGUUGUCCGGAUUUACUGGGUGUAAAGGGCGUGCAGCCGGAGAGACAAGUCAGAUGUGAAAUCCACGGGCUCAACCCGUGAACUGCAUUUGAAACUGUUUCCCUUGAGUGUCGGAGAGGUAAUCGGAAUUCCUUGUGUAGCGGUGAAAUGCGUAGAUAUUAGGAGGAACACCAGUGGCGAAGGCGGUCUGCUGGACAGCAACUGACGCUGAGGCGCGAAAGCGUGGGGAGCAAA
Molecule: ribosomal RNA, 395 nt
Filed under: uncultured bacterium
Lineage: Bacteria
Description: bacterial SSU rRNA
Rfam family: Bacterial small subunit ribosomal RNA
Source: RNAcentral